GUGGGGAAUCUUGCGCAAUGGGCGAAAGCCUGACGCAGCCAUGCCGCGUGAAUGAUGAAGGUCUUAGGAUUGUAAAAUUCUUUCACCGGGGACGAUAAUGACGGUACCCGGAGAAGAAGCCCCGGCUAACUUCGUGCCAGCAGCCGCGGUAAUACGAAGGGGGCUAGCGUUGCUCGGAAUUACUGGGCGUAAAGGGCGCGUAGGCGGACAGCUUAGUCAGAGGUGAAAGCCCAGGGCUCAACCUUGGAAUUGCCUUUGAUACUGGCUGUCUUGAGUUUGGGAGAGGUGAGUGGAACUCCGAGUGUAGAGGUGAAAUUCGUAGAUAUUCGGAAGAACACCAGUGGCGAAGGCGACUCACUGGCCCAAUAUUGACGCUGAGGCGCGAAAGCGUGGGGAGCAAACAGGAUUAGAAACCCGUGUAGUCC
This 425-nucleotide ribosomal RNA is filed under the name uncultured bacterium. RNAcentral describes it as "partial 16S ribosomal RNA". It matches the Rfam family "Bacterial small subunit ribosomal RNA", at positions 354 to 796 of the family's 1533-position model. The record is from RNAcentral.